AUAAGGUAAUAAGGGCAUACGGUGGAUGCCUUGGUACCAACAGCCGAAGAAGGACGUGGCAAGCUGCGAGAAGCUGCGGCGAGGCGCAAGCGGCCUUUGACCCGCAGAUGUCCGAAUGGGGCAACCCACCUGGAGUAGUCCAGGUAUCCCGUAAGGGAAGGAACCCGGAGAAGUGAAACAUCUCAGUAUCCGGAGGAAGAGAAAUCGAAGAGAUUCCCUAAGUAGUGGUGAGCGAACGGGGAAGAGCCUAAACCAUAUACAUGUAAGGCUGCGGUCGUUGUGUAUAUGGUGUAGAGGGGCUUUUCAUGCAUAGUCCGCAGGCUAGGCACGGAGUUAUCAAGAUACUUUUUAGCAGAACUGUGUUGGGAAAGCAGGCCAUAGACGGUGAGAGCCCGGUAUGCGACAGAGAGUAUCCUCCGAGAAGAGUUCCCGAGUAGGCCGGAGCACGUGGAAUUCCGGUUGAAUCAGGGUGGACCAUCAUCCAAGGCUAAAUACUGUUGGUGACCGAUAGUGGAUGAGUACCGAGAGGGAAGGGUGAAAAGCACCCCUGGCGGGGAGUGAAAUAGACCUGAACCCGUAUGCCUACAAGCAAUCGGAGCAAGAGAUGCCGCGAGGCAUUGAAUGUGACGGUGUGCCUUUUGUAAAAUGAGCCGGCGAGUUAUUAGACGUAGCGAGGUUAAGGUGCGUAUGUGCACUGGAGCCGUAGGGAAACCGAGUCUGAAUAGGGCGCAAGUUUCGUUUAAUAGACCCGAAGCCGCACGAUCUAUCCAUGGCCAGGUUGAAGUCCGGGUGAAGCCGGAUGGAGGACCGAACCAGUUUCUGUUGAAAAAGAUUUGGAUGAGCUGUGGAUCGGAGUGAAAAGCUAAUCGAGUGCGGUGAUAGCUGGUUCUCCCCGAUAUGCAUUGAGGUGCAGCCUUACGGAAUUGAGAUAUGGGGGUAGAGCACUGGAUGGACGCGGGGGACUGGGGUCCUACCAAAUUCAACCAAACUUCGAAUACCAUAUUUUGUACCGUAGGAGUGAGACUACGGGUGAGAAGGUCCGUGGUCGUGAGGGAAACAGCCCAGACCGUCAGCUAAGGUCCCAAAGCGUAUGCUAAGUGUGGCAAGGAUGUGAGAGUGCCUGGACAGCCAGGAGGUUGGCUUAGAAGCAGCCACCCUUUAAAGAGUGCGUAACAGCUCACUGGUCGAGGACUUUUGCGCCGAGAAUGUAGGGGGCUAAGCAUACUGCCGAAGCUGCGGGAUAUGUGCAAGAGUGUAUAUAUCGGUAGGGGAGCGUUCCAUACGGGGCGAAGCAGAGCCGCGAGGUCAUGUGGACUGUAUGGAAGUGAGAAUGCUGGCAUGAGUAACGCGAAGUGCGUGAGAAACGUACUCACCGGAAGCCCAAGGGUUCCUGGGGAAGGUUCAUCCGCCCAGGGUUAGGCGGGACCUAAGGCGAGGCCGAGAGGCGUAGUCGAUGGAUAGCAGGUAGAUAUUCCUGUCCCAGCCAAUGAGCGUUAAUACCGAAGGGGUGACACAGAAAGCUAGGUGAUCCGGGUGAUGGAAGUCCCGGUCCAAGGGUGUAGGGAGUUUCCGCAGGCAAAUCCGCGGGAAUAAUUCUGAGACCUGAUGGGGAGGCCCUACGGGGUCGAAGUCAUUGAAGCUCGGCUGUCGAGAAAAGCCUCUAGGGAGUUUGUUGGUUGCUCGUACCCGAAACCGACACAGGUGGGCUAGCUGAGGAAGCUAAGGUGAGCGGGAAAACCCUCGUUAAGGAACUCUGCAAGUUGACCCCGUAACUUCGGGAGAAGGGGUGCCACUCUGGUGAAAUAUAAUCAUAUGGAGCUAAGGGUGGUCGCAGAAACCAGGCUCAGGCGACUGUUUACUAAAAACACAGGUCUCUGCAUAAGGCGUAAGCCGAAGUAUAGGGACUGACACCUGCCCGGUGCUGGAAGGUUAAAUGGAGAGGUUAGCGUAAGCGAAGCCUUGAUAUGAAGCCCCAGUAAACGGCGGCCGUAACUAUAACGGUCCUAAGGUAGCGAAAUUCCUUGUCGGGUAAGUUCCGACCUGCACGAAUGGUGUAACGAUCUGAGCACUGUCUCAACGAGGGACCCGGUGAAAUUGUGGUACUGGUAAAGACGCCAGUUACCUGUGGUGGGACGGAAAGACCCCGUGGAGCUUUACUGUAGCCUGAUAUUGGAUUUUGGUCUGUCAUGUACAGGAUAGGUGGGAGGCGUAGAAUGGAGGGCGUCAGCCUUUCAGGAGCCGUUGUUGGGAUACCACCCUUGACAUACCGAAGUUCUAACUGUUGAGUCUGAAUCGGCUGGCAGGACAUUGUCAGGUGGGCAGUUUGACUGGGGCGGUCGCCUCCUAAAGAGUAACGGAGGCGCCCAAAGGU
Molecule: ribosomal RNA, 2371 nt
Filed under: fermentation metagenome
Description: bacterial LSU rRNA
Rfam family: Bacterial large subunit ribosomal RNA
Source: RNAcentral